CCUACGGGGUGCAGCAGUGAGGAAUAUUGGUCAAUGGCCGGAAGGCUGAACCAGCCAAGCCGCGUGAAGGACGAAGGUGCCAAGCAUUGUAAACUUCUUUUGUCAAGGGACAAAAUCAGGCUCGAGAGCCUGACCGAGGGUACUUGAAGAAAAAGCAUCGGCUAACUCCGUGCCAGCAGCCGCGGUAAUACGGAGGAUGCGAGCGUUAUCCGGAUUUAUUGGGUUUAAAGGGUGCGUAGGCGGGCUGUUAAGUCAGCGGUAAAAGCCCGGGGCUCAACCCCGGCGAGCCGUUGAAACUGGCUGGCUUGAGAAGUCGAGAGGUAUGCGGAAUGCGCAGUGUAGCGGUGAAAUGCUUAGAUAUUGCGCAGAACUCCGAUUGCGAAGGCAGCAUACCGGCGGCGAUCUGACGCUGAGGCACGAAAGCGUGGGUAUCGAACAGGAUUAGAUACCCCUGUAGUC
RNAcentral lists this ribosomal RNA (459 nucleotides) under uncultured bacterium. Its description in RNAcentral is "partial 16S ribosomal RNA". It matches the Rfam family "Bacterial small subunit ribosomal RNA", at positions 338 to 795 of the family's 1533-position model. The record is from RNAcentral.